AUUGAACGCUGGCGGCAGGCCUAACACGUGCAAGUCGAACGGUAGCACAGAGAGCUUGCUCUCGGGUGACGAGUGGCGGACGGGUGAGUAACGUCUGGGAAACUGCCCGAUGGAGGGAGAUAACUACUGGAAACGGUAGCUAAUACCGCAUAACGUCGCCAGACCAAAGUGGGGGACCUUCGGGCCUCACACCAUCGGAUGUGCCCAGAUGGGAUUAGCUAGUAGGCGGGGUAAGGGCUCACCUAGGCGACGAUCCCUAGCUGGUCUGAGAGGAUGACCAGCCACACUGGAACUGAGACACGGUCCAGACUCCUACGGGAGGCAGCAUUGGGGAAUAUUGCACAAUGGGCGCAAGCCUGAUGCAGCCAAGCCGCGUGUAAGAAGAAGGCCUUCGGGUUGUAAAGUACUUUCAGCGGGGAGGAAGGCGGUGAAGUUAAUAGCUUCACCGAUUGACGUUACCCGCAGAAGAAGCACCGGCUAACUCCGUGCCAGCCGCCGCCGUAA
Molecule: ribosomal RNA, 504 nt
Filed under: uncultured bacterium
Lineage: Bacteria
Description: partial 16S ribosomal RNA
Rfam family: Bacterial small subunit ribosomal RNA
Source: RNAcentral